AUUUAGUUGUACAAAUCUAAAUUAAGUGUUGUAGUAUUUUGUGGAAUGUACUAUAUAUCAAGAUACAGAGGAAAUUGUUCUGGCAUGUCAGCCUUUUUUCUUUCAUUAGCAGAGUGCAUGUGUUGGUACGCUGGUUAUUGUUUUUGUUUCUAGAGCCAAUUGUUUGGAUGCACUGCAAAGGAAGUGCAGCUCAUAAGAUAUGCAGUAAUUUCCAUAAUGAAAUACAAGAGUGAUAAAAAUUAUAUAUUAAUCUUACCACUUUCCCUGAUAAGCUGCACUAGGUAUUCACAAAUGGAUCCAAGAUAAAAUCAUUUUUCUGAAACUUUUUUUAGUGAGAUGGUUUUCCAGCAAAUAGCAUUUACAAGAUAAAGUGAUUAUGUUUUUAACUCAUUUCCCUUCUUUGGUAUUGGGUUAUGUGUGUGUGUUUUUUUACGUGAGAGCUGAUUAUUGCUUAAGAAGUUUUCUUAUGGCAAAAUAAUGUAAAUAAUUUCUAUGACCUACAUUUUUUCAGAAACUCAUUUACUAUUACGGUUGUCAUUUAUUACUAAGAAUUUUUCUGUUUUUGUCCUUUAUAAUAUUAUAUUAAACUUAAUAACUAUUAUAGGUAAUCUUGAAAUAUUUGUAUGUGUUUGUUACCUUAAACAUUUGAAAGAAGCACAAAAAAGUAGAUUUAGUUAUCCCAGAGAAACACCAAUUUUUUAGUAGUAGCAAUUUUAUAUCACAGUUUUAUUUUCUUAUGAAGUCAAAAAAAAACCACAUUGCUACUCAUUAAGGCAAGUUCAUUAUUUAACAUAAAAACCAGAAUAAUCUUUUGAAAUGAAAAAAAAAGUACUAUUUUUAUUUUAACAGUAUACUUCUUAAGCUCUUAUUACCAGCUCUAGAGAAUUUUUUGGAAUAAUUAUGCAUUCCCUAAUGUGUGCUUUACAAACUGUGUAUCAUCAUAACCCAGUAGCCGUGACAGAAAUCUCUUUUCUUUGCACCCCCAUCCUCCUCUUUUUGUUUCUCUCUCGCCCCCACUCUCUGUAAUAGUCACUAGCAGGUUGUGUUUAUAGCAACCAUUGGAAAGACCGUCAAUAAAAACGACAAAAAACAUUUAGUUGUUCAGAAAUUGAAAGUUAGAGAACUUGGAUUUAUUUAACUCAGUGCUGCCAGAAAAUAAUGCUAUAAAAUUAAAUUACUUUAAAACUCUUGAAUGAAAGGUGCUAUUUAAAUGUAAAUACUAAGGGUUUACUGAAACACGAUACACAUACUAAAAAUCUAUUCUCUAGACUUUGAAAUCUUCUUUGUGACUCCUUAGAUUCAAGUCUCAAAUUGGUAAAUGGGUAUCAUGGAAGUCUAGAGACAGUUGCAUG
RNAcentral lists this long non-coding RNA (1352 nucleotides) under Mus musculus (house mouse). RNAcentral's name for it is "long non-coding RNA chr11:29508072-29509424". The record is from RNAcentral. Lineage: Eukaryota; Metazoa; Chordata; Mammalia; Rodentia; Muridae.